GAGGGUAUAGCUCAGUGGUAUAGCAUGUGCUUAGCAUGCAUGAGGUCCUGGGUUCAAUCCCCAGUACCUCCU
Molecule: transfer RNA, 72 nt
Filed under: Camelus bactrianus (Bactrian camel)
Lineage: Eukaryota; Metazoa; Chordata; Mammalia; Artiodactyla; Camelidae
Also listed under: 2 other names
Rfam family: tRNA
About the family: Transfer RNA (tRNA) molecules are approximately 80 nucleotides in length.
Source: Rfam by way of RNAcentral